GUCCAAUCAGAACGGUUCGCGCCUUACGUACGUUGGCGCGCGUUUAUCAAAAACGCGAUAAUGCUUCCGAUGCGGCAUUCACUGAAUUAUAACAAAAUUACUUAAAACCAUUAGCAAGCGACGAGCGAGGCGAAGUGCAGACCUCCUCCGCGUCGCGAGCACACCCUGCGUGCUAGCUGCUGCGUGCACAACGCGAAAAGGUUCGCGAUAAAACAUACAAUAAAUAAAAGGACAAAAACGGCACCGGGCCGGUUUAGCUCCCGCGCCUUGUUUCAACUUUGAAACGAUAAAUAAAAACAAAAAUUGUUGGCGCGGUCAACUUAAAUCUUCAUAUUGUAAAUAAGCAGUUUCGUUUCACUUGUAACGAAAAUACCAAUAAACAUUUCGAAAUACCGAUCAUGAUACCAGUUGAGUGUAGUUUAAGUUAAGUUCAAAUCUUGCCGAGUAGGAAAGUGAGUGCAGACUACCUGACUACACAUCCUCGACCGUGAAGUUAUUUGCCACUUUCAUUCGAGAUGGCGUACCGUUGGAUUCUGUUGCUUACGGUGGCAUUGCAUAUGGUCAAGAGCAAUGAAGACAAGCCUGUGAACGAUGUGAUACCUCAUAUUUAUGAACCUUCGUGGAUGUACAAAUGCGUGCCGGACCAAGGAUGUGAGAGGACGGAGCACCCUCACCCGCUCGUCAUGGGCAACAUCACUGCACAGAUGUUCUGACAGUCUAGACGUCUGCAGGACUGUUUGUGGUCGCUUCGGAGGACUCUGGCCACGGCCCGUCACUGCUGCCCUGAGCUCACAGACUGUUAGGAUCCAUCCUAAUUAUCUGAGGUAAUUCUCUUAUCCUAUUUAUUAA
Manduca sexta (tobacco hornworm) is the source of this 849-nucleotide long non-coding RNA. RefSeq lists it as uncharacterized. The record is from RefSeq and is a predicted model, not a curated record. The transcript has 3 exons. Lineage: Eukaryota; Metazoa; Arthropoda; Insecta; Lepidoptera; Sphingidae.